AAGUCGUAACAAGGUUUCUGUAGGUGAACCUGCAGAAGGAUCAUUAGAGUAUUUGAGACUGGGACAGCCUUCCGGGAGCGCUUUCGAGCGCGACUUGGGACUGUCCACCUCACGUACAUCUGAUCCAAACCCCUGUGCGCUAGCUCUGCCAUCUUUUUGGCGGAACGGAACAAACACUUUUUGAGUAAGAAUGGACGUUUUGUUGUUGGAUCAUAACGACCAACGAAGACAAAUACAA
Molecule: unclassified non-coding RNA, 238 nt
Filed under: plant metagenome
Description: partial contains small subunit ribosomal RNA and internal transcribed spacer 1
Rfam family: Eukaryotic small subunit ribosomal RNA (bases 1-46)
Source: RNAcentral